RNAcentral lists this ribosomal RNA (212 nucleotides) under uncultured microorganism. RNAcentral describes it as "partial 16S ribosomal RNA". It matches the Rfam family "Bacterial small subunit ribosomal RNA", at positions 9 to 201 of the family's 1533-position model. The record is from RNAcentral.
GAGUUUGAUCGUGGCUCAGGAUGAACGCUGGCGGCGUGCCUAACACAUGCAAGUCGAGCGAAGCAUACAGGAGGAAGUUUUCGGAUGGAAUCCUGCAUGGCUGAGCGGCGGACGGGUGAGUAACGCGUGGGUAACCUGCCUUAUACAGGGGAUAACAGUUAGAAAUGACUGCUAAUACCGCAUAAGCGCACAGUACCGCAUGGUAGUGUGUG